This 253-nucleotide ribosomal RNA is filed under the name uncultured bacterium. RNAcentral's name for it is "partial 16S ribosomal RNA". It matches the Rfam family "Bacterial small subunit ribosomal RNA", at positions 524 to 776 of the family's 1533-position model. The record is from RNAcentral.
UACGUAGGGUGCGAGCGUUAAUCGGAAUUACUGGGCGUAAAGCGUGCGCAGGCGGUUUUGUAAGCCAGAUGUGAAAUCCCCGGGCUUAACCUGGGAAUGGCAUUUGGGACUGCAAGGCUGGAGUGUGGCAGAGGAGACUGGAAUUCCUGGUGUAGCGGUGAAAUGCGCAGAUAUCAGGAGGAACACCGGUGGCGAAGGCGGAUCUCUGGGCCUUACCUGACGCUGAGGCGCGAAAGCUAGGGGAGCGAACAGG